Drosophila melanogaster (fruit fly) is the source of this 279-nucleotide non-coding RNA. The record is from Ensembl. Lineage: Eukaryota; Metazoa; Arthropoda; Insecta; Diptera; Drosophilidae.
UCUCAACACAUGCAAUAACAGCAACAACACAAAGGACACACGAGCAGCAGCAGCAGCGGCAGUGGCAACAAAAAAUUGACUGAGCGUGAAUGCAGAGCGGGGGGUUUUGGCAACCAAUUGGUUACAAAUACAUAAUAAGAAACGGACAGAUAUAAAAUGGCAGAGAAUGGGGUAUGAGUAUCGGGAUGGGCAAAGAUUACCAUUCCGAAAGUGAAACGUUAAAAAGUGUCCAACAAGUUGAAAUCUUAAGGAGAGCGCACUUUAACAGCAACCGAGUUU